UUCUUAAGCUUUGAAUUUAGUUUUCUGCUAUUAAUGUUUAUUCUAGUUCGUGCAACUGAAGCUAUGUGUAGUCAAAUGAACUGUCAUUUGGUUUAUUUUUAUUUUCAAUUUAAGAUGUGAGAUGAUAAAGGAAUCUGGAAUUUGGAUGAUGCCUGAUUUAUGUGCCUUUGAUUUGUUAUUAUUUUUCAAAUUCAUGUGUGUAACUAAAAUUAGACAAUCGUUUGGGAUCAAAUGGGUUUUGUUCAAGUAACUGUCUUAUAGAAAUAGGGGAUCUGAAGUCUGAACAACUAGAAAUGGGUUUUGUUCAAGUGACUGUCCUGUAAUAUGUCAUUCUAAUUUGGUUUGGUUACUAGGAAUUCAAGCUGGGUCAACUCCAAAGCCAGAUUCAGGUUUUAGUCUUUAUUUUUAAUUUAGUCUUGAACUUAAGAACUGUGUUUUCUUCUUUGUUUUUAAUUUAAUUUUUGUCGUUGUCGCGUAAACUAAGAUCUUAGGUUCUAGGCUUUUGUUUCCUUAGAUUUUGGGUUUAGAGUUGUUCGCUUUCGUCCGAGGUACUGUUAUGAAGAUGUUGGGUUGGUUUUCUGUUACGGUGGCAGUGGGAGCAUGGUCCCAUUUUCUGGAAACUGUUAAUGGUUGGGGGUUUUAUUUUGCUAUUUUAUUGGAAGGCGUGGUUCAUUUUUUUGUUAUAAUUUUGUAGCUAUUUACCCACUUGUUUUGUAAACUACUUGUUCUUGUCAUGUCCUUUUCCCUAUUACAACGCUAUUAUUUAUGUUUAUUGGAAUACCCCCUUUUCUUUCCUUUCUCUGUCUCUACCUUAGAAAAAUAGAAACGGCUCCCUUGUUGUUUUCAAGCUUUCUCUUGCUGCUGUUUUAUAGUUUAUAUUUAUUUAUUCUUAUGCAUUGACUAGGAAUCGUUCUGUGUAUUUUUUUUUGCAUAUUGAUAUUUGAGUAUUUGUCGCUUGCCAUUUUUUCUUUUAAAAUGUGUCGUUUAUUAUUCUGUGACAAUUACAACUAGAUUUACUCAGGUAGCCACAGCUUAGAUAAACAUGAACGAUACCGGUGUUUUGCUUGUCCAUGCUAUACUGUGACUGUGGCUUUCUUCUAUUCUUUAUUUUUCAGUUUGAUACCAAUUAUCAGAAGCGAUAGCACUUGCUUAUUGCCAAAGUACUACAUCCAGUUGCUUAUAUUUUUGCUUUUAAGUUAAUGAAAGGCAUGUGUUUGAGUAAUCCUUCUGUAAAAGGGAUAGUUCUUCAUGACUAGUUUAUGGGAUGAAUAUCUAUGACAUGAUUUGGUUGUAUUAUCACGGACUAUAUAUUUGAUGUGUUGUUUCAUUGCAUGAUUCAUCACAUUUUUGGUUGAAUUUUCAGGUUACUAUCCCUAUUUCCUCACAUCGAUUUUCAUUUCUGUUGCCGCUUAGCUUAAUUGCACUGCUUUUUGCACUGAUCUGUGUGUUUUACUUUAUGUAUUAACUUUUCUUUCUUUUUUUUUCUUUGCAAUUUGCAUAUCAUACCUCCCCCACCAUUGGUUUUGGUGUUGCCAGCAUGCUCACAUGUUGGACUGCAUAUAGAACUUAGAAGAACUGAAGAAGUAUGAGGGUAUAUGUGAGCUUUUCACAAAAUAAGGGGGUGUUGAAUUAGUGAAUUACCAUUUAAGUUUACCCAUUUUGAUUUGAGAAUAGGUUUGUGACUGACCUUGUGACUGAGCUUCUUUUCAAGUAAUCAAUGAGAAUCUAUUCUCAUUAGUACUAGUUUGUCAUAUGCUAAAUGAUGAUGCACUGAUCACUAAUUCUAUGCAUAGAAUAGAUUAUCACUUGCUAACAAAGCUAUGGUCCUCCCCCCUCCCCCGCGCCCCUCCUUCUUUUUGGGUCUAAUAAUGCUUGUUGACUAUGAAUUGUGUUCAUUGCUUUAUGCCAUAUUUAUCACUUCACUUCUUUUUUUUUUUCUGAUUCUUUUUAAACCUUAGGUACUGAUUAGUUUAAUUAAUACAUAAGGUUGUAAAUUGUAGUUAAUAAUCAUCAUAUCCAUUACUGUUAUAUUUAUGUCACUAUUAUGUGAGAAUUUGCAGCUUCUAAUGAUUUCUUGAAUUUUGUUGCUGUUGAUAGGGAAGAAAACAAAUUAUUUCGAUUCAGAGAAAGACUCGAUCACGUAAUUUUUUUUCUUUCUUUCUCUUUUUCUUUUUUUGAUGUUAUAUAUAAUUUUAUUUUAUUUUUUUCAUUUUUAGCUUGAAUUUCAUUGAGACUGUUUCAAAGAUCACACCAUACCUCAUAUUUUUUGGGGAAAGAUUUGAUGCUUUUUUUCCUCGUUUUUUCUUUGUAGAAUUGUUCAAUUCAAAAAUUAGUUGAUAUUUAAUUGAAAAGUAUAAAAUCAUAAAUAUUUAAAAUUUGCUAUAAAAUUUAAUAUUUAGGUGUUUGUUAUAUGGUGCCCAUAUUUGUUUUAUAGCUAGUUGAUGGACUAGGUCGGUCAAGCAAGUCGACGGCCACAGCCUACAAAGUUUGUUAGUUGCCAUUUCCGAACCAAAAAAGAAAACACAAGUGGUGUGCGGUCUCUGAACAAGAUGGUGUUAUAGGAAUUGGCAUCACUCUAACUGUUGUGGGACUCAUAGUUGGUGGCUUUGUUGCACCACUAGCCUAGAAGAAUUGAGCAUAUUUUGGCUUUUUUUUAUUUUUUUGUAAAAUGUAUUGAAAAUCAA
Non-coding RNA from Arachis ipaensis, 2684 nucleotides. The record is from RefSeq and is a predicted model, not a curated record. Lineage: Eukaryota; Viridiplantae; Streptophyta; Magnoliopsida; Fabales; Fabaceae.